UUAAUCAAAUUUGUAUGGAAUUGGAACGUUUGCCGCUAGGGGCGCUGUUCCAACUGCAUACAAAUUGGAUUUA
RNAcentral lists this microRNA precursor (73 nucleotides) under Bombyx mori (domestic silkworm). RNAcentral's name for it is "mir-2807 microRNA precursor family". It matches the Rfam family "mir-2807 microRNA precursor family". The record is from Rfam by way of RNAcentral. Lineage: Eukaryota; Metazoa; Arthropoda; Insecta; Lepidoptera; Bombycidae.